Molecule: transfer RNA, 92 nt
Filed under: Microbacterium oryzae
Lineage: Bacteria; Bacillati; Actinomycetota; Actinomycetes; Micrococcales; Microbacteriaceae
Description: tRNA-Ser
Rfam family: tRNA
About the family: Transfer RNA (tRNA) molecules are approximately 80 nucleotides in length.
Source: RNAcentral
GGAAGCGUGUCCGAGCGGCCUAAGGAGCUUGGCUGGAAUCCAAGUAUGCGGGGUAACUCGCAUCGCAGGUUCAAAUCCUGUCGCUUCCGCCG